Molecule: long non-coding RNA, 1448 nt
Filed under: Solanum lycopersicum (tomato)
Lineage: Eukaryota; Viridiplantae; Streptophyta; Magnoliopsida; Solanales; Solanaceae
Description: long non-coding RNA (SLYC_LNC001188)
Source: RNAcentral
AAUUCUUCUUCUGCUUCUGGUAAAUCAAAAGGUAAUCUUUCACACUCGGCGAGAGAAGAAAUUAGAAAAACGAUAAACCCGAUGGGUUGACGCCACAAAUUCCACCCCCAAAAACCAUAUUUUGACUGCGCUUCCACUAUAUCAACUGUACUUAAACUGUUAGAUAAUCAUAGUCGAUGAUAACAUCACUGUGCCCAUCGCUAUUACAGAACCGUACGUGAGAUUUUCACCUCAUACGGCUCCUCAGAGGUCACAACUAAAUCUAAGGGCCCUUUCCUAUUCUUUAUCUUGAUAUGUUUGUCAGAUAGAGUCAAAAUCUAUUCUAAGGUCCCAAAUUAGACCAAUGGAAUUCUGUCUGCUAUAUUUAAAACUAAUAAAUAAGUGCUUCUGAAUUUAUCUCAUCUUUUAAGAAUUUUAAUUUUUCUUUGUUGAUUAAUAACCUUAUCAUUAAAUAAAAAAAUGUGCUUUAUAGCAAUAUCACAUAUACAUUUCAACCUCGAAUUUUCAAUUACGAAAAAAAUUAGAGAGUACAUUAGUUCAUGAAUCAUGACAAAAAUUUUAUCUCUCUAAAUAGAAAUAAAAAUUGAAUUAUAGGAAAGAAAGAAUAAAAACAAAAAAAGACAUCCCUCCUUUUUCCUUUUGCAAUUAGCUUCUUUUCUUUCUAUUUCGAUUUUUUUAUUUCAUUCCUAUUCUCCUUUCUCAGAAAAAGGGUCUUUAACCAAAGUAAAAGAUUACUUCGUUCUUGAUAGUUAGUUACUUACUCAGUGGAUAGGAACAUACUCUGGAUCAGAAUCAUGGGGAGUACUUCUUGAUCAUUUCUACGAACGUAAAGCCCCAAUUUGAAUUCCUUUUAUGUACAGAAAUAUCCUCUUGGAUAACUUACAUAAUCUCAAUUACUAAUCCUUUGUGUAUCUUAGUCUUCCUAACCAUCCACUCAUUUUUUGUUUCAAAAACCUCCCGUUGUGGAAAUCCAUCUAUGGUAAUAGACAGUAAAAACUCCAUAGAGUUGGUCUUUUGAACCCGCUUCAAGCUAUCAUGACAAUUCACGAAUCUUGGGGUAAACAAUCUCUCUUGCUUAUGUUUACUUUUUUCACCAUUUGAUUCUUGUACAUAGGAAAUGAGACUCAACUUUUUUACUGCAAAUUUAGAAGCCGUUUUCUUUCACUCAUAUAACUAUCUGAUUUAGUUCAUCAACUCAAAUGCUGAAGAAAAAAAAUAUAUAUAAUCAAUCAAAUCUUUUUAUCCUUGUUUCUAGAAAGAAAAGAAUUUGGAUAAAUUUUAGGUCUCACCGAAUCACACGUAGAGAUAUUGAUAACACACAUAGAGCUAAUGGUAUUUCAUAACUAAUUGAUUGAGCAGCUGCCCGUAGACCACCUAAAAAGGAAUAUUUAUUAUUUGAUCCAUACCCCGACAUAAGAAGUCCAACGGGAGCAAUACUUGAAAUGGCA